Suricata suricatta (meerkat) is the source of this 410-nucleotide long non-coding RNA. RefSeq lists it as uncharacterized. The transcript is spliced from 2 exons. Lineage: Eukaryota; Metazoa; Chordata; Mammalia; Carnivora; Herpestidae. The record is from RefSeq and is a predicted model, not a curated record.
AGGACAGCAUUAAGCCUGAGCUAAUGGACUUUGCCAGGGAGCAAGGACUCCCUGAGGCGCAAGAGGACUUCUGACCUGGACUGACCUCUCAGGCUAUGAGAGUUUCCUCAGUAUCCCGGGUACCCAGCACGGCGACCAGCACAGUGAAGACACCAACUAACGUUCUUUGGCAGAACUGAAUGAACGGCUGUGUGAAUGAGUUUGCAGGGCAGACUGCCUGAGAGCCUCCCCACCAGCCACCGAGCCCAUAACGCUCGCAAGCCGUUUCCUGAUGAGUGUUUUCCCGUUUUAUGGAUCUUGGUCUGUCUCUAGAAGCCUAUGUCCCCUUCUGGUAUCAGGGCACAUCUGGUUGUUGGUGCAUGAUGCUUAGUUAGAAACUCUUAAAACAGCAUGAAAUUGUUAGCACGUUG